UGGGUAACCUGCCUCAAAGAGGGGAAUAGCCUCCCGAAAGGGAGAUUAAUACCGCAUAAUAUGUUUAAGUCGCAUGACUUUAACAUCAAAGGAUUUUCUUUUAGAAAUUCCACUUUGAGAUGGACCCGCGGCGCAUUAGCUAGUUGGUGAGGUAACGGCUCACCAAGGCAACGAUGCGUAGCCGACCUGAGAGGGUGAUCGGCCACAUUGGGACUGAGACACGGCCCAGACUCCGUAGGNGG
Molecule: ribosomal RNA, 242 nt
Filed under: uncultured bacterium
Lineage: Bacteria
Description: partial 16S ribosomal RNA
Rfam family: Bacterial small subunit ribosomal RNA
Source: RNAcentral